Ipomoea nil (Japanese morning glory) is the source of this 509-nucleotide long non-coding RNA. RefSeq lists it as uncharacterized. Lineage: Eukaryota; Viridiplantae; Streptophyta; Magnoliopsida; Solanales; Convolvulaceae. The record is from RefSeq and is a predicted model, not a curated record. The transcript is spliced from 2 exons.
AAACAAAUAUGGGGCACCUCAAAGAAAAUAAGAAAUUUAGGCGGGAGAGCCCCUCCAUCGGAACGGCACCGUUUUCGAUACGAGUACUUGAGUUCAACAGUUCAUCUUCAAAUCUUCUGGUCGACCUGAAGGCGGCGUUCCAUUCCGGCGGCCUCCACCGUUUUCCGUUAACCUUUUAGCGCUCUCCGGCAGCGCACAAGUGCAAUUAUGCAUUGCGAAUAUGUCUCCUAGGACAUGCUCGCCCUCGGUUUAUGCACGCCCAAUGAUACUGCUUAGUUUCGUGAAUUCCUGAGCUUUCAUCCACAGGGCAUGGAGGUAAGACUACCAGCUUUGCCCUAGCGAUUUUGUGUUGAUUCUGUCAUGGAACUAUGCAUACAUACAAUCUACAUUCUAAAACUUAAUCUGUAAUGAUUAUCAGAAAGCAAAUUAUCUGCUAAUGUGCGCUUCUGAUUAAUUAAAUUGGUUGCAUCCAGCUUCUUGUUUGAAUAAUAUCGAUUAAAAGUUACACU